ACAAAGGAUUGGGAAUAAGCAAAAAGUUUUAAAUCAAUAGUUUAAACUGCUUGAUUUAAGGC
RNAcentral lists this small RNA (62 nucleotides) under Streptococcus pneumoniae. RNAcentral describes it as "Streptococcus sRNA Spd-sr07". It matches the Rfam family "Streptococcus sRNA Spd-sr07". The record is from RNAcentral. Lineage: Bacteria; Bacillati; Bacillota; Bacilli; Lactobacillales; Streptococcaceae.